AGACAACGACUAAAAUCAAAGGGUAAGGGGUUGAGCGGGUUGAACACAGGAGGCUGUGCACACUUAAUUCUGGUAUGUAUCUUUGGUAACUAACUGUUUUUUUGGUAACUAACUGUUUUUGGUAUGAAAAUCAUUAGGUAACUAACUGUUUUUGUUUUUGUUUUUUAUGUGUGCUAGUAUUGGCUCUGUGAGAAGACAAACGCCAUAAAGUCGAUUGAAGGCACAGAGGAUGAGGAACAUAAGAUGAGGAAAUGGGACCUCACAAAGCUACCCAAGAAUGCUGAAUUCAAAACAUUGAAGGUAUGGGAUAGUUACAUGGAAAAUUGAUAGUUACAUGGAUAGUUACAUGCAUAGUUACAUAAAAAAUUGAUAGUUACAUGCAUAGUUACAUGCAUGGUUACAUGCAUGGUUACAUGGAAAAUUGAUAGUUACAUGGAUAGUUACAUGCAUAUUUACAUGGAAAAUUGAUAGUUACAUGAUUAGUUACAUGCAUAGUUACAUGGAAAAUUGAUAGUUACAUGGAUAGUUACAUGCAUAGUUGCAUGUAGAAUUGUGAUAGUUUUCAAAACAAUACACCUCAUAUGUUUGACUUGAUCUAGUUUUUUAAGUAUCUUGGAACUAUGUAACUGCCAUUGUAACUGGCAGUGUAACUAUCCUUGUAUCUGCUGUGGGUUUUGUAACUAUAUAACUAACAAUUUAUUUAUUCUUUUAUUACAGCAACUGUUCGCUGGAAUCAAGUCUGAUCCAGAAGAAACAGAUUGUGAAUCUGAAGCAGAAGAAGAAGAAACAGUGCAGAAGAAACUGAUGGAUAAAGAAGAAACAUGGCAGGCAGCAGAGGAAGGAGAAAGGCCACCGUCCUCUCUAAUAUCCGGUCAAAGCCAAAAAGCAAAGGAGGUUGAAAUGAGACGGCUAACAGAGGAGAACGAAAGGCUGCGCUGUCAAACUGAAAGCUUGAAAGAGGAAAUGAGAAGCAUGGCAGAGGACUAUGAAUCAAGGCAGACAGAACUACAGGAGAAGAUGGAAAAUGCAGUACAGGAUUUGAUGAUUGAGAGGUUAAUU
Molecule: long non-coding RNA, 1059 nt
Filed under: Fragaria vesca (wild strawberry)
Lineage: Eukaryota; Viridiplantae; Streptophyta; Magnoliopsida; Rosales; Rosaceae
Description: long non-coding RNA (FVES_LNC004376)
Source: RNAcentral